UAGGGAAUCUUCCACAAAUGGACGAAAGUCUGAUGGAGCAACGCCGCGUGAGUGAAGAAGGGUUUCGGCUCGUAAAACUCUGUUGUUAAAGAAGAACAUAUCUGAGAGUAACUGUUCAGGUAUUGACGGUAUUUAACCAGAAAGCCACGGCUAACUACGUGCCAC
Molecule: ribosomal RNA, 165 nt
Filed under: uncultured bacterium
Lineage: Bacteria
Description: partial 16S rRNA
Rfam family: Bacterial small subunit ribosomal RNA
Source: RNAcentral